AUGGCUCCUUCCUUACAGAAGAUCAUACUUGCCAGCAUACAACCCAAGCUCCACAUAUCUGACUUAUGUACAAUUGUACAUCUUAUAGCCUACAGUAGCUCAAGACCUUUGAAGUAUCAGGAAGUAAUUUGGACAUUAUAACCUUAAUCAGGAUGGUAAAACUCAGCCAAACCCCAACGUAUUAGCUACAGCUUUCUGGGCUCAUGACCAGUCAUGAUAUUAUGGAACUUCAUGUCUCUGUGCCUAAUUCCUACGCUGUGAAGUGGAGUAUCAUACUCUAGGACUUUCAGAAUCUCACACAUGUAAAAUCAAGAAUCAGUCUGUUAACAUCUGGUACAAUUGCUUGAAGCGUGUGCUGUUCAUGUGUUCAAAAACAGAGGCCCAGGGUCUUUUACAACACCUGUCAGUGUAAUGAUGUUGGGAUUGACUCAUAAAUACUCCAAAAUUUUUAUUGCAUGCUUGAUUUUCUUUGUCUUUAUUGGAUUAAGAAUUUUAACAACUUUUUCAUUAAUGUGUAAUAUUGAUGUUGGCAUGGACCCAACAUGUCAGACAGGGUGGCCAACAAAGCUGGACUUGACGUUUGCGUUCAGAAGCCUCUGGGGGGCAAGACCUCAUUUCAACAUGUUUUCUUCACUCUGUGGUGGAAGCGGCAGUGGUGU
Molecule: long non-coding RNA, 659 nt
Filed under: Lynx pardinus (Iberian lynx)
Lineage: Eukaryota; Metazoa; Chordata; Mammalia; Carnivora; Felidae
Source: RNAcentral